This 484-nucleotide ribosomal RNA is filed under the name uncultured bacterium. RNAcentral describes it as "partial 16S ribosomal RNA". It matches the Rfam family "Bacterial small subunit ribosomal RNA", at positions 30 to 507 of the family's 1533-position model. The record is from RNAcentral.
AUUGAACGCUGGCGGCAGGCCUAACACAUGCAAGUCGAGCGGAUGAAGGGAGCUUGCUCCUGGAUUCAGCGGCGGACGGGUGAGUAAUGCCUAGGAAUCUGCCUGGUAGUGGGGGAUUACGUCCGGAAACGGGCGCUAAUACCGCAUACGUCCCGAGGGAGAAAGUGGGGGAUCUUCGGACCUCACGCUAUCAGAUGAGCCUAGGUCGGAUUAGCUAGUUGGUGGGGUAAAGGCCUACCAAGGCGACGAUCCGUAACUGGUCUGAGAGGAUGAUCAGUCACACUGGAGCUGAGACACGGUCCAGACUCCUACGGGAGGCAGCAGUGGGGAAUAUUGGACAAUGGGCGAAAGCCUGAUCCAGGCAUGCCGCGUGUGUGAAGAAGGUCUUCGGAUUGUAAAGCACUUUAAGUUGGGAGGAAGGGCAGUAAGUUAAUACCUUGCUGUUUUGACGUUACCAACAGAAUAAGCACCGGCUAACUUCGUG